Molecule: long non-coding RNA, 1649 nt
Filed under: Marmota monax (woodchuck)
Lineage: Eukaryota; Metazoa; Chordata; Mammalia; Rodentia; Sciuridae
Source: RNAcentral
GGCUGACCUCAAAUUUUCAAUCCUUCUGCCUCAGCCUCCCAAGUUGCUGGGACUAUAGGCAUAUACCCCUGCACCAGGCUUCUUCUUAAAUAUUUUUUUUUUCUUGGUGGUGCUGGGGAUUGAACCCAGGGGCCUUGUGCAUGUGAGGCAAGCUCUCUACCAACUGAGCUAUAUCCUCAGCCCCCUUCUUAAAUCUUAAAGAACAUUAUGAGGACAUUCAGUAUUUGUACUCAUACCACACAAAAGCUCAAUAAUAUCCUGAAAUUCAAGAGAUUUGACUAAGGAAGCCAUAAGCAACAACUUAUAUCCACUCCUUUCACAAUACUGCACCCAUGUGACUCCAGAAAAGUAUGACAGGGCUUGUUUGCCAUCACAGUGUUCUUGAAUAUCUCUGUUCCAUCUGAACAUUUGCCUAUUUCCUAUGUGAAGAUAUACAGUCCAAGUAGGGCUGUCUGAAUUCCCCUACCUAAGGUGUCAGAGAAUCUCAGGAAGUUACAAUGCUUACCUGGAACCUGCUAGAAACAACACUCACUCCAGGAAUGGCCAUCAUAAAAUUUCAUGAACUAUAGAUUAUAUAAUUAAUAAAAUUCCUAUAAGCCAGUACCAUUCAAGAUGUGGCCUGUGCACCAGCAUCAGUCCACAGUUUGUUACCAACUGAAAGUAUAGAAACUGAGAAGAAAUACUAGGAAACUUCUAUAGCAUUUGAACAUAGCUACAACAGCCAAAUAUGAUUAUAUAUUUUACACAAGUAUCACUUUAUAUUCUAUGAAAGAGUUGAAGGUGAAACACGGGUCUUUCUCCACAGAUACUUUAAGAAGGGCUGCCCCAUCCAUGUGGGGAGGUAGCCAGAGUUUUGGCCACAAGGUAAGUAGAUUAGAAGGAGUUGUGUGGUUGACUCACCCUGGUCUUCUUGGUUGCUUGGCUUACAGCAGGUCUUAUGUUAGGAACUCCUAAUUUCUAGACCUUCCCUAGCUCCCUGAAGCCUUGGAGUUUAGUGGAAGAACAACAGGAAUGCACCACACACACAUCUUACAGCUCCACUUGGAGAUACUGCAAAUUCAAAACAUGCUCAACUGAUCUUACUCCUACUUUCAAACCCAUUUAAACCACAUUAUCUUACCACAUGCUCAGAUUAAGUAUCUUCAGGUGGUCAAUGACAUUGUCUUACCCAAUCUAGUAGGAAAUCUGGUUGACUCUACCUUCUAAAUGUCUAGAAUCCCCUCUUGUCCCACCCAUUGCUACUGCAAUGGCCCCUUGAAGGAUCUCCCCACUGUUCCCUUGCUCCCCACAGUAUGUGCUCAGACUUCCAGUUCUCAGCAGCCAGAGUGGUCCCAUUAUGUCCCCCAGUGAAACCCUGCACACGUGCCCCUGUUUUACUCAGAAAGUCAAAUCUUCGCUGUAACCUCAGGACCAGAUAUAUGAUCUGUCUCCUCUGCUCCAGCCAUGCUGGCCCUAGAGCACUGCAGGCAGGUCCCCACCUUAGGGCCACUUGCUCAAGACCUGUCUGGAAGCUCUUCUUCCAGCUGUCCUUCCUUUGGUUACUUCCUUCAAGUCCUUUCUCAAAAGGGGUUCCCCCCCCAGAACUGGGGAUCCAACCCAUGGCCUUAUAUAUGCUAGAAAAGUACUCUACCACUGAGCCACACCCCGAU